This 522-nucleotide ribosomal RNA is filed under the name uncultured Hanseniaspora. RNAcentral's name for it is "eukaryotic LSU rRNA". It matches the Rfam family "Eukaryotic large subunit ribosomal RNA", at positions 62 to 584 of the family's 3401-position model. The record is from RNAcentral. Lineage: Eukaryota; Fungi; Ascomycota; Saccharomycetes; Saccharomycodales; Saccharomycodaceae.
AAACCAACUGGGAUUACCUUAGUAACGGCGAGUGAAGCGGUAAAAGCUCAAAUUUGAAAUCUGGUACUUUCAGUGCCCGAGUUGUAAUUUGUAGAAUUUGUCUUUGAUUAGGUCCUUGUCUAUGUUCCUUGGAACAGGACGUCAUAGAGGGUGAGAAUCCCGUUUGGCGAGGAUACCUUUUCUCUGUAAGACUUUUUCGAAGAGUCGAGUUGUUUGGGAAUGCAGCUCAAAGUGGGUGGUAAAUUCCAUCUAAAGCUAAAUAUUGGCGAGAGACCGAUAGCGAACAAGUACAGUGAUGGAAAGAUGAAAAGAAUUUUGAAAAGAGAGUGAAAAAGUACGUGAAAUUGUUGAAAGGGAAGGGCAUUUGAUCAGACAUGGUGUUUUUGCAUGCACUCGCCUCUCGUGGGCUUGGGCCUCUCAAAAUUUCACUGGGCCAACAUCAAUUCUGGCAGCAGGAUAAAUCAUUAAGAAUGUAGCUACUUCGGUAGUGUUAUAGCUUUUUGGAAUACUGUUAGCCGGGUA